Long non-coding RNA from Hemicordylus capensis (graceful crag lizard), 434 nucleotides. RefSeq lists it as uncharacterized. The record is from RefSeq and is a predicted model, not a curated record. The transcript has 4 exons. NCBI's taxonomy places the organism in Eukaryota, Metazoa, Chordata, Lepidosauria, Squamata, Cordylidae.
AUCUAGGUCUGAAUGUAGAGGGGAGAACAGGGCAGGAGGGGUCCUCUGAACCAGCCCUCUCUGCAAUAUAUACCCUUCAGCUCACUGCAUUUAUUGCAUUAUCUCCCUUCUCUGGUUUGCAGUGAAACUGACAAGGUAGAAACAGAUUCUCCAAACUGCAAGAUCCAGGCACUGUCAUUGAGUUAGUAUGUAUCGCAAAAUACAACAGAAACUGCUGGCAAAGCAAGAUCAUGACAGUAUGAAAUUAUGCCUUUGCCACUGAAGUGAGCAUCCGCAUCCAGCACCUUCCUGUAUCGCUGCUGCCCGAUAUAGGGCAUAUCGCAAAGAUGGAUCAAGGAGCCAUUAUGAAGAGUGACAAGCUCAAAAUGAAAGGAGCAGCUGCCGUUCUAUUAAUGCAGUGAUAAAAUAAUAAACAUUAUGUUUCCCAUGUUUAG